RNAcentral lists this long non-coding RNA (3266 nucleotides) under Olea europaea subsp. europaea. The record is from RNAcentral. Lineage: Eukaryota; Viridiplantae; Streptophyta; Magnoliopsida; Lamiales; Oleaceae.
CUCUUCUAUUAAAUUCUUCUUCUUCCCCCUUUUAAUUCCUCAUUCUUCUCUUUAAUUCUCUCUCCAUAUAGAUCUGUUCUAUUUCCCAAUGAAUUGUCCCAUUGGUGCUGCAUCAAAUUUGGUAUCAGAGCCGAAUCUUGGGUACUUUCUUUUACAAUCCAAAAUCUCUUCUUUUCUCCCAAAUUUUGUUAGGACAGCACAAAUUAAAAGGAUUUUGAUAAAGGCAGCAAUUUUAUUCCUCAAUUUUCAGAGUUAGUUAAAAAAAAAUCGUGUUACUAUUCACGGGUACUGCUCACACCCGGAUUCCAAAUUUUUUAUUUUCAUUCUGUAGUUAAAAUAAAAAAAAAUAAAAAAUAAAAAUUCUGCUGUUCAAUUUGAUUGAUUUGCUGCUUCCUUUUGCAUUAAAGUUGCUGUUUCAAACCCUAGCUUAUAUAUAUAAUUUUUUCAAUUCCAUAUACUCUAGCCCAACAUAUAUUCCAGCGCAGCAUAAUUUUCAGUCUAAACUCAGCCCAUAUUGAACACAGCCCAAACCCACGUAACCCACUAAUUCAUAAUCCAUAGACUCGGUCAAGCCCAUAUCCCUAACCCAAUUACAGCAGCCCAUUGAUUCAUUAUUCCAACUCUAUUUAUACUCCAAGCCCAUAAGACCCAAUUACCAUACAAACCAAUUAUCCAGCCCACACCCACAUUAGCCCAUUACACCAAUCGUCGGCCCAACUCUCAAUACCCGGCCCAACCCAACUCCUAUCUCACUACCCAAAUCAAUUUCCCCAACCCGAGCCCUAACUCAUCCCGUCACUCCCCACGACCAGCAGCUCAACCCGUCAAUACCCAUGAUGUCCAGUCGCCCGUUUCCUCCUACCAGUCACCGUCGUCGACUUGCACCCCAGUCGGACUUCACCACUUAGUCGGCCGACCAUCAAUCGGCCGGCCAUUGCUCAUUAUUUCCAUAAGCCAGUGUCUACAGUUUCAGUCAUCGACAUUCCAACAACGCCGAAGCAUCACUCAUCUUUCAUUCACAUAUCGCCGCCCUCCUCACAACUCACAGCAAUAUUACAGAGUCCACCGUGAAGAGACCCAUUCAUUACCCAGGCACAUUCACGCAUCAAUUCCUCAGAAGUCAGGCCGUCACAGUAUCUACGCCGAUUGACCGCAACUGCCCUUUCGCCGACAGCAGCAUCAUCGCGGGUGACCCACCACUGGCCCAAUUGUUCAACAACUUUCCUCGAGGAUUACAGCCAGCCACCGACUUCAUUGAUCAAGCAAUUUACUGUCUCUACUACCAAGCAACCCAUUCAGUUACACAGAGGUUUCUAUCUCAGCAUCUGUCCAAUUUCAGUGAAGCCAACAAUUUAGAAUAUGCAAUGACCGUGAGUUCAGGAACUGGAGACAUUUGACACAGGCAGAUCAGAGGCCCAAUCGUUAGCAAUUCAGGCAACUAGACUACAGGGAGUUGCUAUCUCCUAAUUCUCAUUGGUUUAUACUGCUGAUUUAUUUUAAAAGUGCAUCACUUAGAUUCUUUGUGUUGCUGUUACUAUCACAACUUUGGCCUCAAACUUCACUUGACUGGAAUCACUCAUUGAAUUGACUUGCCAUUGUUGCCCCAUUUAUCUCACUGGAUUGAUGUGUCAUUGUUACCUCUUUUAUCUACCUGAUUGGAAAUCUUGACAAUACCAUUUGAUCUUAACAAGCAUUGGACCCUUGCUUUAUUAUUUACAAGCAUCAGCACUAUUAACUUGCAUUUUUGGAAGGGAAGAAAAGAGAGAGAGAGAGAGAAUUUCAAAUUGAUGUUUUAAUCGUUGGUCCUUGAUGCAUAUUGGUCUCUCUAUUGCAUUUCAUUUAGGUAGUAUUGCUUUGCAUGUAGUUACAUAUUGGUCAUCUUGUCACUUCUAGCUCUAGUACCUUAAACAUGAACCCCUCACAAUUCGAUGCACUCACCCGACAAAUAGCGGCUAUUCAAACUCAAAUGACCGCUACUCUUGAAGAGAGUAAGGCCCUAUCUGUUAGUUUGAAAAAUUUUAAACACAUCCCUCAUUCGAUUGAUGUUAAUAAUUUUAAGGUGUCCCAUAAUAGACAACAUUGUCGACAAGGUAAUCAAAAAUACUUUCGACCCGAUCGUAAGGAUAGGGAUAGGAAUAGGGAUCAGAUUCGUGAGCGAGAACGAGAUAAUUUUGAAAUUCUUACUCAAUGGAAUGCCCUUAAACAAGGAAAUCAAUUAGUGACUGAGUAUAUCGCGCGAUAUGAGGAAUUUCGAAUCAAAUGUCAUUUAAUUGAGGAUGAGAGCACGACUUUGAGUAGGUUUAGCCAAGGUCUGAGAGAUGAUCUUAAGCGCGAGCUUUUCCAUCGAGGUGUCACUACUCUUGAUCACGCUUACUCUUUAGCUCGAGAUUAUGAGUUGAUUAUUAGUACUCCAUAUGAAAAGCGUGGUCAUCGUCGCUCACCCAUCUCAUUAGCGUCGCCUCAUCAUUAGUCUAUCAUAAAACCAUCUCCGUCUAAUGUUCCUCCUAUUUGGAAAAAUAAUUGUAAAGGUCGUGAUAGUCCACAUUCUCCUUUUCCAUGUAGAAAGCAUAUUGACAAUCAUCCUUCGGUGUCAUUGGCUCCAAUUCCUCCCGUUAAGUCCCUUCUAGGACCACCCCCAUCUGAUGUUCCUCCAAUUUUGAAAAAUAAGGGUAAAAUUUUUGAUAAUCAUCAUUUGGCUUCAUUGGCUCCACCUCUUCCCGUUAAGUCCCUUCUAGGACCUCCCCCUUCUAAUGGUUCUCCAAUCUUGGAAAAUCAUGGUAGAAUUUCUGAAACUCCAAGGUCUUCUUCUCACUUGUUGUGCGUCAACUGUAAAGACUUUGGCCACAUUUCUUCCAAAUGUACUAAUCGAACCUUAGUCAUGGAAGAACGAAAGAAUGUAAUAAAUAUGCCAUUAGAAGAUCUAGUCUAUGAACCUAAACUUGAAGAUUUUGAUGACUUGGAUGAUAGUGAGGACACUUCUUUAGGUGGACUCCAGACUCUUCCCAAGACUUUAGAUACUAUACCCCUUGUUUCUGACAACUCUCGGUCACAUGUUAUAUGUCAUACCCUUGCACAACUCAAAGAGCUUGAUGAUUUCACUGGCCACCCUUGGAGAAUUCAGUCGCCUGUGGUUAGCAUUAAGUCAACAUUCCCCAUUACUGACCAACUUCAAACUGAUGGUCAAAAUAAAGUCGUUAACCAAAGUCCUGGCAAUUUAUACAAGUCUCUAGUCCAGAAAAAUCUUAGAAAUUGGGACUUGAUUCCCC